This is a non-coding RNA of Coffea arabica (coffee), 1257 nucleotides long. The record is from RefSeq and is a predicted model, not a curated record. Lineage: Eukaryota; Viridiplantae; Streptophyta; Magnoliopsida; Gentianales; Rubiaceae.
UUGACUCUCGCAUUGGGCUCGAUGCUUCAGAGGAACGUCCUUUCCUCUCUCUCCGUCGAUCGCCUCUCUCAAUCAUCAUCUCUUCCUUUUUCUUUCUUCAGAAAGCCCUCAUCUUCUCUUCGUUUUCAUCUUUUCUUUACCUUUAUCUUCUAAUCUAAUCAAACCCUGAAGAAAUGAUGAAGAGAAAAAAAUGGUUCCAUAUUUUGCUUGGAGGUGCAAAAAAAAUGGAACUGUCUUUUAGCAUCCAGCAUCGCGAUGAAAGAACAUUGGCAACCAAAUAUGAGAAACUUGGCGGUAAAGUGAAAUGGAUGGGCAAGCCUGAUAAGAUCAUCUAUAAAGCAGCUGCGGAAAUGGCUGCUAUAGAUCCUUCACAGUGUGUUGCCAUUGGAGAUUCUCUGUACCAUGACAUAAAAGGUGCAAAUGCCACUGGUAUCUCAUCAGCAUUUAUCACUGGUGGGAUCCAUGCGACUGAACUUGGACUUGAUACCUUCGGAGAAAUUGCUGAUGAUUCUUCUGUGGUUGCUCUUGCCUUAAGACAUGAUGCUUAUCCAUCAUAUGUGUUGCCUUCAUUCAAUUGGUAGUCUGAUGGUUUGAGAAUAGAGGUUCUACUGAUGCCAUUGCUAAUGUUCCAUUUUCUAUAGCACCCUUUGUAGCUACGGCGCCAGCUUUUAAGUUACCGUUCAAGGAGCCAUCAUCGUGCUUUUCAUCUUUGUUUUGUUGUGAUCAGUUGUCUCAACUACAGCAAUGUUUGGAGGGAAAGGAUACAAUAGAGAAAAAUGAAAGCUUCCCAGAAUAUCAUACCCAAGGGUACUUCUUCAAACACUGCAUUUGGUAAACCUCUCUUCUGCACUCCUUCGAGAAGUAAUAGCUGGUGUUAACAGCUUGUUUUCUUCAACAUGUAUAUAAAAGGGGGAAUGCAAUGCCUCAAGAGGGUGCUUGUGUUGCUGACGCCGCAACAUGUGAUUGGUUGGAGAGUGUUCGUCCAAGCCUUUCUUAGGUUCCCAUUUCAUUUACUUUUUCAUUCUUUUUAAACGCAGAUGUGAUUGAUUGAAGAAGGUCACUUGCUCUCCCAUUUCUUUUCCUUGUUCAUCGCCAUUCUCCUCUCUCUCUAAGCCCAUCUCUCUGUUUUCUUCUUCAUUUUCCUAAAUGCCCCCAAAGCCCUUCUAUCUCUUUUCUUCUCCAUAACCGGCAACAUCAGGACCAAAACAGAUGGUGAAAAUUUUCGAAUCUUUUCCAGCAUUCUUGUGAGACUCUGAG